Molecule: non-coding RNA, 467 nt
Organism: Lepisosteus oculatus (spotted gar)
Lineage: Eukaryota; Metazoa; Chordata; Actinopteri; Semionotiformes; Lepisosteidae
Source: RefSeq, a predicted model, not a curated record
GGCCUCUUUGGAAGAAACAGCUGGAUGAGCAUUUUGAGAUCCUCAACUGAAUUUUCUACUAACUAAAAUAAGGGCUAGAUGGGCAGAAUGGCUUCCCCUGGGGCCUGGCAUUACUUAUCAGACAUGCAAUGAGAAAUAAUAAGAGAACAUUGAAGAGCUACUGCAAAACCGAUUUUAAUUAUGAAGAAAUGUGCACGAAAGUCUGCAUCUAUAGCAGCCUGGCUGGAGAAAGUGUGAUAUCACUUCCUGUGAUGUGAUCUGCACAGUACCAUGUGCCCAAGAGUGUGAUCGGGGAAAUGAUAGGCAUGGCCUGUGGAAAUGAACAAGAAAGCACAGGAAACCAACUUCAGGCACGGAAAACAAACAAAACGAUGUCUGGAGAUUUAUCUUCCAUGACCAGACACACUCCUGACAUAAGGGUAGCUGUAACUGUCCUUAAAGGAAAAUCAAGGCAGGGACAAUGCAAG